Molecule: transfer RNA, 73 nt
Filed under: Stegodyphus mimosarum
Lineage: Eukaryota; Metazoa; Arthropoda; Arachnida; Araneae; Eresidae
Rfam family: tRNA
About the family: Transfer RNA (tRNA) molecules are approximately 80 nucleotides in length. Their secondary structure includes four short double-helical elements and three loops (D, anti-codon, and T loops).
Source: Rfam by way of RNAcentral
GCCUUCGUGGUGUAGUGGUAAGCACGCUGGACGCGUAAUCCACAGGUCCGUGGUUCGAGUCCCGGCGAAGGGG